AUACGUAGGGGGCGAGCGUUGUCCGGAAUUACUGGGCGUAAAGGGCGUGUAGGCGGUCAUAAAAGUCAGGUGUGAAAUACCGGAGCUCAACUUUGGGGUUGCACAUGAAACUAUAUGGCUUGAGGGCAGGAGAGGAGAGUGGAAUUCCCGGUGUAGCGGUGAAUGCGUAGAUAUCGGGAGGAACACCAGUGGCGAAGGCGACUCUCUGGACUGACCCUGACGCUGAGGCGCGAAAGCGUGGGUAGCGAACAGGAUUAGAUACCCUGGUAGUCCACGCCGUAAACGAUGGAUGCUAGGUGUUGGGGGUAUCGACCCCUCCAGUGCCGGAGCAAACGCAAUAAGCAUCCCGCCUGGGGAGUACGGCCGCAAGGCUGAA
This 376-nucleotide ribosomal RNA is filed under the name uncultured bacterium. RNAcentral's name for it is "bacterial SSU rRNA". It matches the Rfam family "Bacterial small subunit ribosomal RNA", at positions 523 to 898 of the family's 1533-position model. The record is from RNAcentral.